GAUAAACGCUGGCGGUGUACAUAAGACAUGCAAGUCGAACGGGAGAAAACUGGAAGAUUUAUCUACUAGUUGGACACCGUGGCGGACGGGUGAGUAACACGUAAGCAACCUACCUAUAAGAGGGGAAUAACAGUGAGAAAUUACUGAUAAUACCGCAUAAGCUGGAGGUAUCGCAUGAUACAUUCAGAAAAGAUUUAUCGCUUAUAGAUGGGCUUGCGUCUGAUUAGCUAGUUGGUGAGAUAACAGCUCACCAAGGCGACGAUCAGUAGCCGGAUUGAGAGGUUGAACGGCCACAUUGGGACUGAGACACGGCCCAGACUCCUACGGGAGGCAGCAGUCGGGAAUAUUGCACAAUGGAGGAAACUCUGAUGCAGUGACACCGCGUAUAGGAAGAAGGUCUUAGGAUUGUAAGCUAUUGUCGUGUGAGAAGAAAAUGACCAUCACAGGAGGAAGCCCUGGCUAAAUAUGUGCCAGCAGCCGCGGUAAUACAUAUGGGGCGAGCGUUAUCCGGAUUUAUUGGGUGUAAAGGGUGCGUAGGCGGGAAAAUAAGUCAGUAUGUGAAAUCCCUCGGCUCAACUGAGGAACUGCAACUGAAACUAUUUUUCUUGAGUGUUGAAGGGGAAAGUGGAAUUCCUAGUGUAGCGGUGAAAUGCGUAGAGAUUAGGAGGAACACCAGUGGCGAAGGCGACUUUCUGGGCAACAACUGACGCUGAGGCACGAAAGUGUGGGGAGCAAACAGG
This 740-nucleotide ribosomal RNA is filed under the name uncultured Eubacteriales bacterium. Its description in RNAcentral is "bacterial SSU rRNA". It matches the Rfam family "Bacterial small subunit ribosomal RNA", at positions 28 to 776 of the family's 1533-position model. Lineage: Bacteria; Bacillati; Bacillota; Clostridia; Eubacteriales. The record is from RNAcentral.